RNAcentral lists this ribosomal RNA (497 nucleotides) under uncultured bacterium. RNAcentral's name for it is "partial 16S ribosomal RNA". It matches the Rfam family "Bacterial small subunit ribosomal RNA", at positions 28 to 507 of the family's 1533-position model. The record is from RNAcentral.
GAUGAACGCUGGCGGCGUGCCUAAUACAUGCAAGUCGAGCGAACGGACGAGAAGCUUGCUUCUCUGAUGUUAGCGGCGGACGGGUGAGUAACACGUGGAUAACCUACCUAUAAGACUGGGAUAACUUCGGGAAACCGGAGCUAAUACCGGAUAAUAUUUUGAACCGCAUGGUUCAAAAGUGAAAGACGGUCUUGCUGUCACUUAUAGAUGGAUCCGCGCUGCAUUAGCUAGUUGGUAAGGUAACGGCUUACCAAGGCAACGAUGCAUAGCCGACCUGAGAGGGUGAUCGGCCACACUGGAACUGAGACACGGUCCAGACUCCUACGGGAGGCAGCAGUAGGGAAUCUUCCGCAAUGGGCGAAAGACUGACGGAGCAACGCCGCGUGAGUGAUGAAGGUCUUCGGAUCGUAAAACUCUGUUAUUAGGGAAGAACAUAUGUGUAAGUAACUGUGCACAUCUUGACGGUACCUAAUCAGAAAGCCACGGCUAACUACGUG